Molecule: long non-coding RNA, 591 nt
Organism: Quercus robur (English oak)
Lineage: Eukaryota; Viridiplantae; Streptophyta; Magnoliopsida; Fagales; Fagaceae
Exons: 2
Source: RefSeq, a predicted model, not a curated record
GUCCCAUCAGUUAAAAAAAAAAAAAAAAAAAGGAUCAGAUUGUUGGUUCCCACGUGCUCCCCACCUAACCCCACUACCCAUCACACAAUCCACUCCCUCUUUUCUCUCCUUGGCCGGUCACUCUCACUCUUGUUCUCCUUUUCUUUUUCUCUUUCAGUCAACACAACACACAAUACACACACUCCUCUCCCUCACCCUCCCACCGGUACAUUCCUCAUCAUCACCUCUACCAUUUUUUCCGGCAAAAUCACUAGAAAAUCCUCAAGAACAUCACACCUUCACAUAAGUUAAUUGAGAGUAGGCAACGGUCUUUUGAGACAGCUUUUUGGUGGCUAAUAGUAGUUAGACUAACUACUAAUGGAGGCUGAACUUUGGUAAUGGGUAUAUUAGAUGAUGUACAUCUUAGAAUAGGCUUGACUCAUUCUUUUGUAUAUUAUAGUGGCUGUGAUGUUAUUUCCCACUGAUGAGACAAGCUGAUGAUAUGUAAUUAAUUAUUCAAACCUCUAUUCUUUUGUGGCCAAUGGUCUUUGUAAUUAUUGCUUAGAGCUCUAACUUACUCUGAGAGUAUAUUCAAUGGAAUUAUUAUGAUAA